UGUAGCCCCCUGGAUGGGAUGGGAAUUUGGCAGCCGUCGCGGAGGGGUUCAGUUCAGACUCCGAAGGCAAGGCAGGAGCGGGAGCGGAGCGAGGCGGCCAUGGCGGAGCUCGCUGCGGACCAGCACGUCCGCUACAUCGUCACCGUGGGGAAGAUCUUGAAUUGGGUUCACACUGUUGGAGUAUCGGGGAGAUUACAACUUGGGGCCGGCCCGAUCGACGGCGACGCUGGGGCGAGCAGCGGCGUGGGGUGGAUCUGCACGGUGCUGCGGAGAUGAGCGGCCGGUGUGGUGGCUGCCUCUUCUACGGGCGGCUCGUUGCCCCGCAGCUCUCGGCCUCACAGCUCCUGCUCUUCUAGCGGCGCCUGCGAUGCCUCCCAAGUCAGAAUGCAUGGCGCGCGGGCGAGGCUCACGAGGUCAGCGUCACAGAGGCCGCGCGAAGGACGCCCAAGCGAUAGGCUGGCGCUUGUUGCAGGCCACACCGCCGGAUCACCAGCCACCAGUUGCAGUGGUUGGUUAGCAGGGCAAAAGCUUAAAGCCUCAAGCAGCGGCCAGCAGGAGCGAGCAACUAAAGCAAGUUUGUUUGAACAGGUACAGCUAUAACCACAAGAGUCUUCAAUUCCUAUGUAGCCCUGCAUUGUUCGUGCAUGCUUGGUCAACAAUGGAUGACCCAGACCUCAAAAGGAAAGCUGCUCUUGGUUACUCAAAAUGUUAGCUAUCUCAUAAUUAAGGAGCAGGGAGGGGGCACUCAUUCCUCACUGAACCACCAACCACCAGUGGCAGAUCUAGGAUGCAAAAUUGGGGGGGGGGGGGGGGCUCAUUUUCCUCUUCUUCCUCCUCCUCUCUUUGUCUUCUUCUUCCCCUUCUUUAUCCAUGGUUGAAAAUUGUUUUGCCCCCCCCCCCUUCCGACCACACCACAGGGCGGCAGCAAGAUUACUGAACUGAGCCUCCUCCUCUCGCAGGUCGCAGAGCAGCCAGCCUCCUCCCCUCUCGCAGCGCAACUAGCCCCGGAGCCCCCCACCAUCUCUUCUCCUCGAGUCAACAACAAAGCACCGGACUUCCACCACUCAUUCCCAUCGCAGAUCAAAGGGCCCUACCUCAAGUACAGAUGGGAUAGGAAAUAAAAUCUUUUCAUCAUUUGAGGACCUGGGGUAUCUCCGUUGAUCUGGUGCACUCUCCUCUCCAAUCAAUCCAUCUAGAUCACAUCCUAAGAUCAACUUCCACACAUCCUAAGAUCACCAACAGCCCAAACGGAUUUUAUCCAUAUUUUGAGGGAUGUAUAGGGGCACUUGAUGGCACUCACAUCAGGGCAUGUGCGCCUGCUAAAUUUGUGGAUAGGUUUAGGGGGCGCAAGUCGUACCCCACACAAAAUGUCUUAGCGGUUGUCGACUUUGAUCUGCAUUUCACUUUUGUCCUAGCUGGGUGGGAGGGGUCUGCUCAUGAUUCUCAUUUGCAUGAUGCCCUGACUCGUCCAAAUGGGCUCAAAAUCCCAGAAGGGAAAUUCUAUUUGGCUGAUGCUGGAUAUGCCACUAGGCCAGGCAUAGUGCCACCCUAUCGCGGUGUUCGCUAUCACCUAAAAGAGUUUCACGGAGCCCAUGACCCAAAAUGUCCAAAAGAGUUUUUCAAUCAUCGCCAUUCCCAACUUAGGACAACAGUUGAGCGGGCAUUUGGCGCUCUCAAGAAUCGCUUCAAAAUUCUUAGUAAUAAGCCAUUCAUACCCCUGAAGUCACAGCCAAAGGUGGUCAUUGCCUGUUGUGCCCUUCAUAAUUGGAUAUUGGAUGAUGGAGCUGAUGAGUUCAUAUAUGAUGAGCCAACUUGGUAUGGCCAUCUACCUAGGAGUAGAAAUCGUGUCACCGAUCGAGAGGCUGAUGUACGUGAGUGGGCUACGAAGCGUGAUUCAAUUGCCCAGCAGAUGUGGAAUGAUAGACUUAACAAUAAUGUUACCGUUGAAAAUUAGUGUGUAUUAGCUGCAGCUGCCAUCUUUUGGGUUAGUUUGGACAGUUAAUAUCGUUUCUGUUUGUGUACUUUGGUGGCUGUGUAGCCAUUUGGUCUGUAUACAAUAGCACUGAACUUGUGCUUUGCAAUUUAAUAAUAUGUUUGCUUAGUGGUGUAACUUUCUUCUGUUCAACCACAACAUCGUUUGUUAUAUACUUAAUAUGGUUUGAAACUUAUUGUGAACUUUCAUUUAUAGCAUGGUUAAGAAAAACAAAGUUGGAAGUGCUGAUGUUGUAUAUCGUGAGAAGUACAAAACAUGGACUGAUGACAGCACUGAGUUUAUGCUUCAGUGGUAUGUUGACUACCAAAAGGACAAACCUGCUACCUUUAGGUGGAAGCAACACCACCAUCAUCUGUGUGUAGAAGCUUUGAAUGCCAGAUUUGGAAUAGGAGCUACCAGACAUCAAGCUUAUCGUCAGUUCAGGGCAUUAAAGGAGAAGUGGAACUGGAUAAGCCAAGCUUUGGCCAAGAGUGGCAAUGGUUUUGAACUUUUGAUGCAGUGUUUCGCAAGUUCAGUCUACCAUAUUCAGAGAAACCACCUUCCAAGCUUGGGACUUUGAAAUACAACUAUCUUACUCGACCUAUCAAAUUCUUCCAGCUCAUGGAAGAGCUAUUUGGAGAAUCUGGCCAAGCUAAUGGAUCCUUAGCUAUUGACCAAUACACUUCAGAUGCAGAAGAUGAUAGAUCUGAAACAGAGACUGAUGAUUCAUUUACUGUUGAGCAUGGUGAGAAUGAUUCUGACACUACUGCUCGUAGCAAUUCACCUGAUCUAGCCUUCAGUUCUAGUCUCAAGCACAAAAACAUGAAAUCGCCUAUGAAGAAGCUUCGAAAGCACAAAGAAAAACGUGCCAACGCACUAGAGAAUGAUAAAAUUGCAUCAAGUAUUGUCAUGCUGGCCAAUUCUGUUGCAUCCACUGCCCCUGCACCUGCUGAUCCUUAUGCUAAUCUUUGGAAGCGUAUUGAGGAUAUACCUUUCCCACCACGGGAUAAGGUUGAUAUUGCAACCUUUCUUUCCAAGCCGGAGCAGAUGUACUUGCGCAACUACUUGAAUGCUGCAUCUGAUCAGUCAUUUGGAUCCUGGGUAACUGAUUACUUAGGUGCCAAGUAUGGUGCUAGUGGUGGGUAUGCAUGUGAAUAUGGUAGCUCUGAGUGAAUAUGGAUGCUGCAGCUUUUGGUAUUUUGGACGUGCUGUAGGUGGACGUCAUAUCGAUGCACUUGCUUAUGCUAUUUUGGAAGUGUUGUCGGUUGACAGGAGCAUGUUUCUGUAACUUGUGCGACGUAGAACUACUGUAGGUGGUCAGGGAAGAUGUACUCCUCCAGCAUAAUAUUAUUUUGUGUUGAUCAAGGUGGCUGGACUUCAUGAACUCAUUUGUAUAAUAUGUAAAUAUAUCAUCAGUAGGCCCGAACAGUUGUUAUGUAAAUGACAUGUUCUAAUAUUAUAUGAUAGCAUGAAUCAUGGACA
This is an RNA transcript of Panicum hallii, 3454 nucleotides long. RefSeq lists it as uncharacterized. NCBI's taxonomy places the organism in Eukaryota, Viridiplantae, Streptophyta, Magnoliopsida, Poales, Poaceae. The transcript is spliced from 7 exons. The record is from RefSeq and is a predicted model, not a curated record.